AGAGUUUGAUCCUGGCUCAGAUUGAACGCUGGCGGCAUGCUUUACACAUGCAAGUCGAACGGGGUUAAGGGGCUUGCUCCUUAAUCUAGUGGCGAACGGGUGAGUAAUGCAUCGGAACGUACCCGGGAGUGGGGGAUAACGCACCGAAAGGUGUGCUAAUACCGCAUAUUCUGUGAGCAGGAAAGCAGGGGACCUUAGGGCCUUGUGCUUCCGGAGCGGCCGAUGUCGGAUUAGCUAGUUGGUGAGGUAAAGGCUCACCAAGGCGACGAUCCGUAGCGGGUCUGAGAGGAUGAUCCGCCACACUGGGACUGAGACACGGCCCAGACUCCUACGGGAGGCAGCAGUGGGGAAUUUUGGACAAUGGGCGCAAGCCUGAUCCAGCCAUGCCGCGUGUCUGAAGAAGGCCUUCGGGUUGUAAAGGACUUUUGUCAGGAAGGAAAACCUAUUGGCUAAUAUCCAGUGGGGAUGACAGUACCUGAAGAAUAAGCACCGGCUAACUACGUGCCAGCA
RNAcentral lists this ribosomal RNA (510 nucleotides) under uncultured Chitinivorax sp. RNAcentral's name for it is "bacterial SSU rRNA". It matches the Rfam family "Bacterial small subunit ribosomal RNA", at positions 8 to 513 of the family's 1533-position model. Lineage: Bacteria; Pseudomonadati; Pseudomonadota; Betaproteobacteria. The record is from RNAcentral.